UACGAAGGGGGCUAGCGUUGCUCGGAAUCACUGGGCGUAAAGCGCACGUAGGCGGCUUGUUAAGUCAGGGGUGAAAUCCUGGAGCUCAACUCCAGAACUGCCUUUGAUACUGGCGAGCUUGAGUUCGGGAGAGGUGAGUGGAACUGCGAGUGUAGAGGUGAAAUUCGUAGAUAUUGGGAAGAACACCGGUGGCGAAGGCGGCGCUCUGGACCGAGACUGACGCUGAGGCGCGAAAGCGUGGGGAGCAAACAGG
This 253-nucleotide ribosomal RNA is filed under the name uncultured bacterium. Its description in RNAcentral is "partial 16S ribosomal RNA". It matches the Rfam family "Bacterial small subunit ribosomal RNA", at positions 524 to 776 of the family's 1533-position model. The record is from RNAcentral.